RNAcentral lists this ribosomal RNA (292 nucleotides) under uncultured Verrucomicrobiota bacterium. RNAcentral's name for it is "uncultured Verrucomicrobia bacterium partial 16S ribosomal RNA". The record is from RNAcentral. Lineage: Bacteria; Pseudomonadati; Verrucomicrobiota.
GGACUACCGGGGUAUCUAAUCCCGUUUGCUCCCCUGGCUUUCGUGUUUCAGAGUCAGGAAUCUUCCAGGUAUCCGCCUUCGCCACCGGUGUUCCUUAUGAUAUCUACGCAUUUCACUGCUACACCAUAAAUUCCGAUACCCCCUCCGAUCCUCUAGCCGGGCAGUAUCAAGCGCAGUUUCAGAGUUAAGCUCUGAGAUUUCACACCUGACUUACCCGACCUCCUACACACCCUUUACGCCCAAUGAAUCCGAACAACGCUCGGGACCUCUGUCUUACCGCGGCUGCUGGCAC